GACGAACGCUGGCGGCGUGCUUAACACAUGCAAGUCGUACGGUAAGGCCCUUUCGGGGGUACACUAGUGGCGAACGGGUACGUAACACGUGAGUAACCUGCCCCCAACUUUGGGAUAACGCUAGGAAACUGGUGCUAAUACUGGAUAUGUGCUCCUGCUGCAUGGUGGGGGUUGGAAAGCUCCGGCGGUUGUGGAUGGACUCGCGGCCUAUCAGCUUGUUGGUGGGGUAGUGGCGUACCAAGGCGGCGACGGGUAGCCGGCCUGAGAGGGUGACCGGCCACAUUGGGACUGAGAGACGGCCCAGACUCCGACGGGAGGCAGCAGUGGGGAAUAUUGCACAAUGGGCGCAAGCCUGAUGCAGCAGCGCCGCGGGCGGGAUGACGGCCUUCGGGUUGUAAACCGCUUUCAGCAGGGACGAAGCUUUUUGUGACGGUACCUGCAGAAGAAGCACCGGCUAACUACGUG
This 465-nucleotide ribosomal RNA is filed under the name uncultured bacterium. RNAcentral describes it as "partial 16S ribosomal RNA". It matches the Rfam family "Bacterial small subunit ribosomal RNA", at positions 28 to 507 of the family's 1533-position model. The record is from RNAcentral.